Corvus hawaiiensis (hawaiian crow) is the source of this 259-nucleotide long non-coding RNA. RefSeq lists it as uncharacterized. The transcript has 3 exons. The record is from RefSeq and is a predicted model, not a curated record. Lineage: Eukaryota; Metazoa; Chordata; Aves; Passeriformes; Corvidae.
GGAUUAAAUCCGUGGCAGAGCGCCCUGGACCGGGUGGGGGGGUUCUGGCAGGAAGGUCAGUCACCAUUUGUGUUUGUGGGGCAAGUGCAAAUGGUGGUUGUGUUCCAGCAUUGUUCUUUGUCUUUAUUUUUAGGAGGUCAAGCCAGAUCUCAGCUGUCAAGGUGAAGUGAGCGAGGUGGUCCACCGGCAAGAUGUCCUGGUCUGGGAUGCUGGCAGCCAGGAUGUUUUUUGCUUUGUUUCUUUGCAGGUGCUGCUGCUG